RNAcentral lists this ribosomal RNA (492 nucleotides) under uncultured bacterium. RNAcentral's name for it is "partial 16S ribosomal RNA". It matches the Rfam family "Bacterial small subunit ribosomal RNA", at positions 29 to 507 of the family's 1533-position model. The record is from RNAcentral.
AGUGAACGCUGGCGGUAGGCCUAACACAUGCAAGUCGAACGGCAGCACAGUAAGAGCUUGCCCUUACGGUUGGCGAGUGGCGGACGGGUGAGGAAUACAUCGGAAUCUACUUUUUCGUGGGGGAUAACGUAGGGAAACUUACGCUAAUACCGCAUACGACCUACGGGUGAAAGCAGGGGAUCUUCGGACCUUGCGCGAUUGAAUGAGCCGAUGUCGGAUUAGCUAGUUGGCGGGGUAAAGGCCCACCAAGGCGACGAUCCGUAGCUGGUCUGAGAGGAUGAUCAGCCACACUGGAACUGAGACACGGUCCAGACUCCUACGGGAGGCAGCAGUGGGGAAUAUUCGGCAAUGGGCGCAAGCCUGAUCCAGCCAUACCGCGUGGGUGAAGAAGGCCUUCGGGUUGUAAAGCCCUUUUGUUGGGAAAGAACAGCAGCAGGUUAAUACCCCGCUGUUCUGACGGUACCCAAAGAAUAAGCACCGGCUAACUUCGUG